Molecule: non-coding RNA, 302 nt
Organism: Drosophila melanogaster (fruit fly)
Lineage: Eukaryota; Metazoa; Arthropoda; Insecta; Diptera; Drosophilidae
Source: Ensembl
AAUUCAAUUUAUAGCAAACCAGGAGAAAAUUGUAGCCAACAUUUUAUUUUUCGCUAUGGCUUUCCUCAUUAUUUAUUUAUUGACUGGCAGCUGCGAAUGUGUUUGUUCUGCAGCCCCUAAAGUCCUCAGAAUCGGAUCUUGGCAUCCCGACGGAAUUUUCCCUGGAUUAUACUGAAUUGCUGCUUCUCUGUUUUCGGCUUUCCCAAAUUGUAUUUUUCUAUCAAGAUGUAUUAAUCCACUUCUCUCUCUGUUUUUCGCUGUGCUUCGGCGUUCUACUGCGGAAGUUUUGGCAACACCUACUC